UUUUUUUUUUUUCCUUUUUCUGGAGAAUGGGGUCUUGCUAUAUUACCCAGGCAGGUCUUGACCUCCUGGGCUCAAGCCCUUCAGAGGGUAUGGGACAAGAUAACUCUGGAUGUGGUCAGGGUGGCAACAAGGUUCCUUGGUCCAUUCUUCUAUAGCUAGAACUGAAAUGGCAAGAAAAGAAGUGAGGGUCUUAGGGAAUCACUUCCUGCCUGAGAACAGAAAGCUACAUUAAAGGAGUCCCAUGGCAUGGAGGGACCCUGUCUGGGGUGAACCACCUAGGAAAAAGUUUGCAGGCAUGGAAAUGAAGAAAGUUAAUGAACAGUUCAUUCACUCAAAGACAAACCUUGUGAAGGAUGCAGCAUAGCACUGAAUUAAGAACACAGGUUUUGGAGUCAGACUGACAUGGAUUGAGAUUCUGGCUCCACCUCCUACCAGCUAAAUAAUGUCAAUGAAUCGCUCACCUGAAGAGGAGAGGAGCUGUGUGUGCUCAGUGCAGACUUACGGUGCCUUCAGCAAACUGACAAGUUUAGUCAUGUAGAAAGACUAAGUUCAUUGAUAAUUUAUUCACUCAUUUAUUAAAUAAAUGAAUUAUAUUCUUCCUUUCUGAGAACAUAGUCCUUAGCUUUAAUAUUCACCUUGCAUACUGGAUUUUACAAUCAAUUAUCUUUGCAAAGGCCUCUCUGAAGAAGUGUUUUACUUUCACUCGGUACAGGAGAUGAUACUUUCAACCCUCUUCUGAUGAGACUUCACCAAUUACUAAGCACCCUGAGAAGCAGGUGGAGCCCUCAGAAGCAAACACAGCUGUAUUCAGUUAAAAGUACACAUCUAAUUGGUCUCACUAAAUUUGCAUGAAAUAGAGAUGUAACUGGCACACACCAGCCACCCAGUCCCUGUCAUUUUCCUGCCCAAGGGCGACAUUCUGUAAAGGAACAGUGAUGGAAGAGUGACACGGGAGCAGGACUGCAGCUGCUGGCUGGCACCCCUUCACCCCAGUUCAGAUCUAUUUCUAACCCAACUCCAGGGGUUCUGCUUCCAUUAUUUCUUGCCACAUAACAAAUCUCCCUUAAACUUACUGGAUUAAACCCACCACUGUUUCAUUUUCUGACAUGAUUUUCUGUGUUGGCUGGGCUCAGCUGGGGAGUUCUUCUGCACCACAGGACCUUGGCCGAAGCUGCAGUCACCUAGAGGCAUAACUGGGCUGGGGAGUCCAAGAGGGCUCACCCACACAUCUGAUGUUUGGUGAGGAUGGCCAGGAGGCUAGGGUGGCUGGGCCUGUCUCAUUGGUGUGAUCUCAGGCCUCUCCCUCUUCACAUGAACUCUCUGCAUGGUCUCUUUGGGUGGUCACUAAGCAGGGUAGCCAGACUUUGUUACACAGUGGCUUAGGGCUCUCCAAAGACAAAAGUAGAAGCUACCAGGCUUCUUACUGCUUAGGCCCAGAACUGUCUCUUCCCCACAUUCUAUUAACUAAGCAAGUCACAGACCAGCCUAGACUCACUAUAGGAGGGGGCUGCACAAGGGUGUGAAUCUUUCAGGGCAUGGCUCCUUGGGGACCACCUUGGACAACAGCUGUCACGGGUUCUCUAGCUGGGGUUUCGUAGGCAUAUGAGAGAAG
This 1612-nucleotide long non-coding RNA is filed under the name Macaca fascicularis (crab-eating macaque). RNAcentral describes it as "lncRNA (ENSMFAG00000055950.1)". Lineage: Eukaryota; Metazoa; Chordata; Mammalia; Primates; Cercopithecidae. The record is from RNAcentral.